AUGUGGCCUGCACACACACACCUGUGCACACACACACAUACACCUGUGCACACACACACAUACACCUGUGCACACACACACACACACACACACACAGACACCUGUGCUCACAGACACACACACACACACACACACACACACACCUGUGCUCACAGACACACACACACACACACACACCUGUGCUCACAGACAGACACACACACACACACACCUGUGCUCACAGACACACACACACACACACACACACACACACACACCUGUGCUCACAGACACACACACACACACACACACACCUGUGCUCACAGACACACACACACACACACACACACACACCUGUGCUCACAGACACACACACACACACACACACACACACCUGUGCACGUGCUCACAGACACACACACACACACACACCUGUGCGCACAGACACACACACACACACACACACCUGUGCUCACAGACACACACACACACACACACACACACACACCUGUGCUCACAGACACACACACACACACACACCUGUGCACGUGCUCACAGACACACACACACACACACACACACACACCUGUGCUCACAGACACACACACACACACACACACACACACACCUGUGCUCACAGACACACACACACACACACACACACCUGUGCUCACAGACACACACACACACACACCUGUGCACGUGCUCACAGACACACACACACACACACACACACCUGUGCUCACAGACACACACACACACACACACACACACCUGUGCACGUGCUCACAGACACACACACACACACACACACACCUGUGCGCACAGACACACACACACACACACCUGUGCUCACAGACACACACACACACACACACACACACACCUGUGCUCACAGACACACACACACACACACACACACACACCUGUGCUCACAGACACACACACACACACCUGUGCUCACAGACACACACACACACACACACACACACCUGUGCACGUGCGCACAGACACACACACACACACACCUGUGCACAUGUUACGAGCAGCUCCUGUGAGAAGUGUUGGACUUGA
Molecule: long non-coding RNA, 1053 nt
Filed under: Oreochromis niloticus (Nile tilapia)
Lineage: Eukaryota; Metazoa; Chordata; Actinopteri; Cichliformes; Cichlidae
Description: lncRNA (ENSONIG00000042693.1)
Source: RNAcentral